UACGAAGGGGGCGAGCGUUGUUCGGAUUUACUGGGCGUAAAGGGCGCGUAGGCUGUUUUACAAGUAUGGGGUGAAAUCCCGAGGCUCAACCUCGGAACUGCCUUAUAAACUGUAGAACUAGAGGACGAGAGAGGUAAGUGGAAUUCUCAGUGUAGAGGUGAAAUUCGUAGAUAUUGAGAAGAACACCAGUGGCGAAGGCGGCUUACUGGCUCGUUUCUGACGCUGAGGCGCGAAAGCGUGGGGAGCAAACAGG
This 253-nucleotide ribosomal RNA is filed under the name uncultured bacterium. RNAcentral's name for it is "partial 16S ribosomal RNA". It matches the Rfam family "Bacterial small subunit ribosomal RNA", at positions 524 to 776 of the family's 1533-position model. The record is from RNAcentral.